Long non-coding RNA from Cydia amplana, 337 nucleotides. RefSeq lists it as uncharacterized. The record is from RefSeq and is a predicted model, not a curated record. The transcript is spliced from 2 exons. NCBI's taxonomy places the organism in Eukaryota, Metazoa, Arthropoda, Insecta, Lepidoptera, Tortricidae.
UACAUACAUACAUAUAAUCACGCCUAUGUCUCGGAGGAGUCGGCAGAGACCACGGAUUUCCACUCGCUACGAUCCUGACAUACCUCUUUCGCUGCCGUCACUUUCAUAACAUUUCUCAUACACGCUCGCCGGUUUAGGGUGCUCUAUUUCCCCGAUCUGAUCAGAGAAAGUCCGCCGAGGUCUGCCCCUUCUAACUCCCUCUACUACUUCUCUCUUAUACACUCUCUUUGUCAGCCUUCUUUCUCUCAUUCUUUCCACGUGUCCAAACCAUCUCAACAUACCUUUCUCAAAUUUUGUCACUACAUCUUCGUUCAGUCCACACUUUUCCCUUAUAACA